GGGCCCAUAGCUCAGUCCGGUUAGAGCAGUCGGCUCAUAACCGAUCGGUCCUAGGUUCGAAUCCUAGUGGGCCCACCA
This 78-nucleotide transfer RNA is filed under the name Peptococcaceae bacterium. RNAcentral describes it as "tRNA-Ile". It matches the Rfam family "tRNA". From Rfam's summary of the family: Transfer RNA (tRNA) molecules are approximately 80 nucleotides in length. Their secondary structure includes four short double-helical elements and three loops (D, anti-codon, and T loops). RNAcentral also lists the same sequence under 1 other name. The record is from RNAcentral. Lineage: Bacteria; Bacillati; Bacillota; Clostridia; Eubacteriales; Peptococcaceae.